CGGGGUGAGUAACGCGUGGAUAACCUGCCUCACACUGGGGGAUAACAGUUAGAAAUGGCUGCUAAUACCGCAUAAGCGCACGGUACCGCAUGGUACAGUGUGAAAAACUCCGGUGGUGUGAGAUGGAUCCGCGUCUGAUUAGGUAGUUGGUGAGGUAACGGCCCACCAAGCCGACGAUCAGUAGCCGACCUGAGAGGGUGAUCGGCCACAUUGGGACUGAGACACGGCCCAA
This 232-nucleotide ribosomal RNA is filed under the name uncultured bacterium. RNAcentral describes it as "partial 16S ribosomal RNA". It matches the Rfam family "Bacterial small subunit ribosomal RNA", at positions 104 to 334 of the family's 1533-position model. The record is from RNAcentral.